This 82-nucleotide non-coding RNA is filed under the name human gut metagenome. RNAcentral describes it as "S10-Clostridia ribosomal protein leader". It matches the Rfam family "S10-Clostridia ribosomal protein leader". The record is from RNAcentral.
UGAUAGCGGUGAAGCGUGAGGUUGCUGCCCGAUGUGGUAGGUGUUCCGUGGAGCGAAUGUCAAGUUAGGAAACUGGCGACAA